GCCGGCGUAGCUCAGUGGUAGAGCAAUUCUUUCAUAAGGAAGAGGUCGGCCGUCCGAAUCGGCCCGCCGGCA
Molecule: transfer RNA, 72 nt
Filed under: Candidatus Wildermuthbacteria bacterium
Lineage: Bacteria; Candidatus Wildermuthiibacteriota
Description: tRNA-Met
Rfam family: tRNA
About the family: Transfer RNA (tRNA) molecules are approximately 80 nucleotides in length. Their secondary structure includes four short double-helical elements and three loops (D, anti-codon, and T loops).
Source: RNAcentral